UUUAGUGUCCACAUCAACCGGAAGACACAGAAUGUGGAUAUUAUGUAAUGAAGAUGAUGAAAGAUUUAAUUCAAGCUUCGAAUCGGAAACACUUUUGGCCGAGUUAAGUGAUGCAAAGUAUACAGAAGAAGAAAUUGAUGAAGUGAAAGAGCAUUGGGCAAGUGAGAUGUUAUCGGUUAUUCAAACUUAUCGACGUUAGUUGUUUUUUGUUUUAAUAGGGCAAGUGAGAUGUUAUCGGUUAUUCAAACUUACCGAUGUUAGUUGUUUUUUGUUUUAAUAGACCAAUAGUUAUUAUAUAAUUUGAUAGUUAUGGAUUUAUUAGUAUAAUGAACUAAUAUGUAAUAUUUAUUAAUUUUGUUGAUGUGAAUUAUUAUUAUGGUCUAAUUUAUAAAUUUUACAUUUAGUCAAUUAAAAUUAUUAUUAUUAUA
This is a long non-coding RNA of Cannabis sativa, 428 nucleotides long. RefSeq lists it as uncharacterized. Lineage: Eukaryota; Viridiplantae; Streptophyta; Magnoliopsida; Rosales; Cannabaceae. The transcript has 2 exons. The record is from RefSeq and is a predicted model, not a curated record.